GACGAACGCUGGCGGCGUGCUUAACACAUGCAAGUCGAACGGAAAGGCCCUGCUUUUGUGGGUUGCUCGAGUGGCGAACGGGUGAGUAACACGUGAGUAACAUGCCCUUGACUUUGGGGUAAAUUCAGGGAACUGCGGCUAAUACCGGAUAGAAGCUCCUGCUGCAUAGUGUGGGUUGGAGAGUUUCGGCGGUGGUGGCUGGACUGGAGGGUUAUCCGCUUGUUGGUCGGGUAGUGGUUUACCAAGCCUUUGACGGGUAGCCGGCCUGAGAGCGUGACCGGGCACAUUGGGACUGCGAGACGGCGCAGAAUGCUACGGGCGGCAGCAGUGGGGAACAUUGCACAAUGGGCGGACGCCUGAUGCAGAAACGCUGCGUGCGUGAUGCCGGCCUUCGGGUUGUAAACCGCUUUCGCCUGUGACGAAGCGUGAGUGACGGUAAUGGGUAAAGAAGCAACGGCUAACUACGUG
RNAcentral lists this ribosomal RNA (468 nucleotides) under uncultured bacterium. RNAcentral describes it as "partial 16S ribosomal RNA". It matches the Rfam family "Bacterial small subunit ribosomal RNA", at positions 28 to 507 of the family's 1533-position model. The record is from RNAcentral.